RNAcentral lists this transfer RNA (68 nucleotides) under Notocrater youngi. Its description in RNAcentral is "tRNA-Thr". Lineage: Eukaryota; Metazoa; Mollusca; Gastropoda; Lepetellida; Pseudococculinidae. The record is from RNAcentral.
GUAAUAGAAGCUAAAAAUCUAGCGUCGGCCUUGUAAGCCGAAUAGUAAAGAGAUAUCUUUUUAUUACU